GACGAACGCUGGCGGCGUGCUUAACACAUGCAAGUCAAGGGGCCGCAAGGCAACCGCGAACGGGUGCGUAACACGUGAGCAAUCUGCCUAGAUGUGGGGGAUAGCCGGCCCAACGGCCGGGUAAUACCGCAUACGCUCACCGGGUGGCAUCACCUGGUGAGGAAACAUUUUUGGCAUCUAGAGGAGCUCGCGGCCUAUCAGCUAGUUGGUGGGGUAACGGCCUACCAAGGCAUUGACGGGUAGCUGGUCUGAGAGGAUGGCCAGCCACAUUGGGACUGAGAUACGGCCCAGACUCCUACGGGAGGCAGCAGUGGGGAAUAUUGCGCAAUGGCCGAAAGGCUGACGCAGCGACGCCGCGUGGGGGAUGAAGCAUUUCGGUGUGUAAACCCCUGUUGCUCGGGACGAACAACUGGAUUUUUCCAGUCUGACGGUACCGGGUGAGAAAGCACCGGCUAACUCCGUG
This 463-nucleotide ribosomal RNA is filed under the name uncultured bacterium. RNAcentral's name for it is "bacterial SSU rRNA". It matches the Rfam family "Bacterial small subunit ribosomal RNA", at positions 28 to 507 of the family's 1533-position model. The record is from RNAcentral.